UUCUUCCCUGAGGAGAUUAAUCAGUUACGGCAGUCCCAGUCCUACUGCACAGACACAGAGUGUCUUCAGGAAUGGACAAGAUCCACCAGCUCCUCCUGUGGACUAACUUUGUGAUAUGGGAUGUGAAAAUAGUUAACACCUUGCACGACCAAACGAACGAAGAUGACCAGAGUACUCUUAACCCCAUUAGAACUGUUUUUCCUUUUGUAUCUGCAAUAUGGGAUGGUAUUGUUUUCAUGAGCUUCUAGAAAUUUCACUUGCAAGUUUAUUUUUGCUUCCUGUGUUACUGCCAUUCCUAUUUACAGUAUAUUUGAGUGAGUGAUUAUAUUUUUAAAAAGUUACAUGGGGCUUUUUUGGUUGUCCUAAACUUACAAACAUUCCACUCAUUCUGUUUGUAACUGUGAUUAUAAUUUUUGUGAUAAUUUCUGGCCUGAUUGAAGGAAAUUUGAGAGGUCUGCAUUUAUAUAUUUUAAAUAGAUUUGAUAGGUUUUUAAAUUGCUUUUUUUCAUAAGGUAUUUAUAAAGUUAUUUGGGGUUGUCUGGGAUUGUGUGAAAGAAAAUGAGAACCACGCUGUAUUUACAUUUACCUUGGUAGUUUAUUUGUGGAUGGCAGUUUUCUGUAG
This 622-nucleotide small RNA is filed under the name Pan troglodytes (chimpanzee). Its description in RNAcentral is "processed transcript". The record is from RNAcentral. Lineage: Eukaryota; Metazoa; Chordata; Mammalia; Primates; Hominidae.